This 685-nucleotide ribosomal RNA is filed under the name Listeria monocytogenes. RNAcentral describes it as "partial 23S ribosomal RNA". It matches the Rfam family "Bacterial large subunit ribosomal RNA", at positions 305 to 983 of the family's 2925-position model. The record is from RNAcentral. Lineage: Bacteria; Bacillati; Bacillota; Bacilli; Caryophanales; Listeriaceae.
ACACUCUAUACGGAGUUACAAAAGAAAGUUAUAAAUGAAGCGGUCUGGAAAGGCCCGCCAAAGACGGUAACAGCCCGGUAGUUGAAAUGGCUUUCCCUCCAGAGUGGAUCCUGAGUACGGCGGAACACGUGAAAUUCCGUCGGAAUCCGGGAGGACCAUCUCCCAAGGCUAAAUACUCCCUAGUGACCGAUAGUGAACCAGUACCGUGAGGGAAAGGUGAAAAGCACCCCGGAAGGGGAGUGAAACAGUUCCUGAAACCGUGUGCCUACAAGUAGUUAGAGCCCGUUAAUGGGUGAUAGCGUGCCUUUUGUAGAAUGAACCGGCGAGUUACGAUUUGUUGCAAGGUUAAGCGGAAAAAGCGGAGCCGUAGCGAAAGCGAGUCUGAAUAGGGCGCAUAAGUAACAGGUCGUAGACCCGAAACCAGGUGAUCUACCCAUGUCCAGGAUGAAGGUAAGGUAAUACUUACUGGAGGUCCGAACCCACGCACGUUGAAAAGUGCGGGGAUGAGGUGUGGGUAGCGGAGAAAUUCCAAUCGAACUUGGAGAUAGCUGGUUCUCUCCGAAAUAGCUUUAGGGCUAGCCUCGAGGUAAAGAGUCAUGGAGGUAGAGCACUGUUUGGACUAGGGGCCCUUCUCGGGUUACCGAAUUCAGAUAAACUCCGAAUGCCAUGUACUUAUACUCGGGAG